Molecule: unclassified non-coding RNA, 362 nt
Filed under: soil metagenome
Description: partial contains 5.8S ribosomal RNA, internal transcribed spacer 2, and large subunit ribosomal RNA
Rfam family: 5.8S ribosomal RNA (bases 1-121)
Source: RNAcentral
GAUGAAGAACGUAGCGAAAUGCGAUAAGUAAUGCGAAUUGCAGAAUUUCCGUGAGUCAUCGAAUCUUUGAACGCACAUUGCGCCCGGUAGUAAUCUGCCGGGCAUGCCUGUCCGAGCGUCAUUUCAACCCUCGAACCACUAUUCGCGUAGCUGGAUCGGUGUUGGGGCACUACGGUGGAAUACCCGUAGGCCCCGAAAUGAAGUGGCGGUCCCGCCGCGGCGCCCCCAUGCGUAGUAACAUCUCGUCUCGCAUCGGGUCCCGGCGGAGGCCUGCCGUCAAGCCUAUUUUCUAAUUACAGAUGGUUUGAACUCGGAUCAGGUAGGGUUACCCGCUGAACUUAAGCAUAUCAAUAAGCGGAGGA